Long non-coding RNA from Anolis carolinensis (green anole), 1252 nucleotides. RefSeq lists it as uncharacterized. The record is from RefSeq and is a predicted model, not a curated record. The transcript is spliced from 2 exons. Lineage: Eukaryota; Metazoa; Chordata; Lepidosauria; Squamata; Anolidae.
CUGUCUUGCCUUCGUAUUCCCCAGUUAUUGGGUUGUCACAGAUCAGCCGAGUUAGGGAGCUGUGUCAGCGGAGACACUCUUGUGCAGCCAGCGAGAAGUUCACGGAGGAAAUUGAUAUUCGCUGCAAAUUAUUUUGGAUGAUUUACUGGAAUGAAUUAACUUCCAGGAACGUGGGGGGAAUAGGAACACAGCUCCUGCUUUUUAACUACAAUCCUGAAGGAAGAAGAUGCAGGUCUGACCCUUUAAUGCCUAGUCAAACAAUGCAGCUGCACGUUCAAGCUGUUUAAGUGCAGAGAAUGCUAUACAGUGGAUCCUGGUUCUUAAUUGCUCAUUGUUCUGCAUUGAACAGCACCUUCAAUUAUCGUUUGAUUACCAUGUAAAAGUGGCUUUUGUUGUUCUAUUUGCAUUUUGGCAACACAAACACCACUGAAGGAACUCUUGAGUGAGUAGUCCCAUAUUGCCUUGGCACUAAAUGUUUUCCUCUCCUCCCUAAGGAAGUGUGGGGGAGUUCGCUCAAUUGCAGGUUUUUAUUUUAAUGGGUUUAUUACACUUCCUGAAACCAAACACGAAUCUAAAUACUAUUUUUGCUCAAGGAUUUGUAGAGAUGGAAUCUGAUGUAUAUUCUAAAGAACCAUAGUGGUAGUGGUGGUAUCAUCUUUAUGACCACCAUAAUCUUGAGCCUAUUUAGAAAUGUGCAUUUCUAACACAUACAAAAAACAUACCUGUGUCCAAGAAUGCAUACUGUUGAAAAGUAUGGAUAAAAACCUAUAUAGAUCUAUAGAUCUGCAUAGGAGAAAGGAUGGAAUAAGCUUUGUGGUGGAAACCUAAGGACCUCAUCAAGAUCAUCCUUGACACAUCCACACUCUUUCUCUGUGACAAGACUUGGAACAAUCCAUCAGUGAUAUAGACCAGGCUGUGGCGCAGCUGGUUAGUAGCCAGCUGCAAUAAAUUAUUACUGAUCGAGAGGGUCAUGAAUUCAAAUCCAGCCCUGGUUGGAGUGAGCUCCCAACCAUUUGGGCCGGGCUGUGGUGCAGGCUGUUGAGCAACCAGCUGCAGCCAGCUGCAAUGAAUCACUCUGACCAGGAGGUCAUGAGUUCGAGGCCAGCUCGGAGCCCCGUGCUUGUCUUGUCUUUGUUCUAUGUUAAGGCAUUGAAUGUUUGCCUUAUAUGUGUAAUGUGAUCCGCCCUGAGUCCCCUUUGGGGUGAGAAAGGCGGAAUAUAAAUACUGUAAAUAAAUAAAUAAAUAAAUAAAU